Molecule: small nucleolar RNA, 70 nt
Organism: Ziziphus jujuba (common jujube)
Lineage: Eukaryota; Viridiplantae; Streptophyta; Magnoliopsida; Rosales; Rhamnaceae
Product: small nucleolar RNA Z105
Exons: 1
Source: RefSeq, a predicted model, not a curated record
CAGGCAUAAUGAUGAAGCUUGUUGUCUGAGAUUUCUUGUGAUGAUCAAAUCAACCUCCUACUCAUACUGA